This 15220-nucleotide long non-coding RNA is filed under the name Gossypium raimondii (Peruvian cotton). Its description in RNAcentral is "long non-coding RNA (GRAI_LNC003283)". Lineage: Eukaryota; Viridiplantae; Streptophyta; Magnoliopsida; Malvales; Malvaceae. The record is from RNAcentral.
UACAAAAUAAGACACAACAACAUCAUAAAUACUGAACCCUCCAUUAAUGACAAUCCAAAGCUUUAGUAACACAUCAAUCUUUCAAUGGCUGCAGUUUCUUGGGAAAUCCGUUCAUCCCAACACCCAUGAAACUUUGCUUCUAAACCUAGGUGCUCUUCUUUGGUGGUGUAUUGCCAUAUUUCCAAGUGAAUUGCUUUAAAUCAUCAGGAUAAGUACCCCCCGCAACCUCAUGGAUUGGGAUCGCAUCUGAAAUUUCUUUCAAAUCUUCUUUUGUCAGCUUUACUUUCACUGAUUCGAUGUUGCUGUCUAGAUUUUUAAUCUUGGUUGUUCCUGUAAGUGAAAACAAUGUGUCAAAAGCUUUGGUUUUAAAUCUCAAUACAAACUAUAUAUAUAAAUUGGCCUUUGGUACAGGAUUUUUCAGGCCAUUCUUAGUUACUCGAACUUGUAUCGGAGUGUCCAACACAGAUAUGUUCAUUUUCCUAAGGUUUUACAUAUAUCUGGAGGAAUAUGCUAGAAAAGUCUAUGCUAAUUCUGCAGGUUACUAGCUUACUCCGACCGUUUUUUUCUUCAAGUAUCCGUGUCUAAUACCCAACAUAUUUUGACAUGAGUAUUGAAUACAAUUCUCCAAAUAUAUGAAAAACUUCAAAAAAAUAUUAAGAGUUCACUUAUAUUGGAUCACCUCGGUAUUCGAGUUGAAAGUGAUUGAAUGUGACUUACCGGGAAUAGGAGAAACAUCAUCCCCUUGAUGAAGAACCCAGGCAAGUGCAAGUUGUGCCGGUGUACAUCCAUGCUUUUCAGCCAACUUCUCUACUUUCGAAUAUAGGAUCCUAUUUCGCUCCAAGUUCUCUCCUUGAAACCUUGGUAACACUCCCUUAAAAAGUAAAUGUUUGUAAUGAGUCAACCGAUCUGUUUUUUACAACUUAGAAGCAUGUUACUAUGUUAUCCGAAUAUCUGUAUCCAACACUUACUCCUGAACCCAUAUAACAUAGAUUAAGUAUAGGUUAAAGCCAUAUAAAGUGAGUUUCCAUACCAGAGAACUAUUAGAAGUAUCCCCCUUUGCUUUACCGGCAAAGAAACCAUGACCAAGGGGACUAUAUGCAACAAUCCCAAUUCCGAGUUCCCUGUAUUGUUGAACACAUUUAGGCAGACAUAACCUCACAGCAGUUGAAGGAGUUACAACAGUUGAUAACUUGAGAAAAGACGAUCAAUAAGUGAAUUUCAAUCUAUUUGAGCAAAAGGGUAUAUUUAUAUCCCUCCAAAUAUAUAAAAAUUUGAAUAUAUCUAUAUUCGAAUUAAAAAAAAAAAGUUACGAUGAUUGAAGAUAGAAGAAUAAACCUGCAAAGGGGAAUUAGUUCUUCCUCAACAUCACGAGUCCAGAGCGACCACUCAAGUUGUACGGCAGUAAGAGGAUGUACAGCGUGUGCCCUCCUUAUAGUUUCGGGGCUAGCUUCAGAGAUACCAAUGUACUUUAUUUUUCCCUCUUCCACCAACUUCUUCAGUUCUUCCAUCUAUUAUACAUGAAAUAUAUAUAAAUUAUCCUUAAUUUUCCCAUAAACAAAAUAAAAUCGUAUUUGUGCUAAAGAAAGACAAAAUAGGGUUUUUAAUGCAGCAAUGCUUACGGUAUCUUCAAUAGGAGUGUUGCGGUCAACUCUGAUUAUAUAGUAAAGAUCAAUAUAAUCCACAUCAAGGCGUUGAAGGCUAGCCUCAAGUGAAGAACGAACAAAUUCAGGAGUGCCAUUGAUAACCGGACCAUCUGGACCCAUGCUUUCAACACCGAAUUUUGUAGCCAACUGUACCUUCUCUCGUGGCAGAUGCUUCAAUGCCUGCAAAAAAAGAAAUGAUGUUGGUUUCCAUAUACCUUUAACGAGCCAAGAACAAGAAUGAAAACAUUAAAUCAUCCAUUUGAUAAACUAAAAAAAUCCAUCUCUCACGCAUAUCUUCGAACAUGUAAUAGACACAAGAGUGUGGGAAAUUGAGAACAUGAAAGAAUCGCUCUCAGUUUCAAUGUGAUUCAACUUGAAGAGAUGACGAAAGGAUGUUACCUUUCCGACCAGAAUUUCGUUAGUUUUGGGUCCAUAUAAGUCGGCUGUAUCGAUGUGAGUGACUCCUCUUUCGACUGCAUGCUUAAUGAUGGCUAUGCCAUCUUCAUCUGACACUGAAUGAUCGUGACCUGUAAGACUCAUACACCCAAAUCCCAGCUUUGAAACCUGCAGCAACCAAAAAACAAUGGAUUUUACCCCCAAAAGAAAACGCCAUUUUCUUAACUAAUAUAACUGGUAGGAAACAAAAUCUCAAACCUCAAAUCCUUGAGUUCCAAGUUUCACUCUAGGAAUCUCAAUUGCCAUCUUUUGUUUCCUUUUUCUUCUUCUUCUUCUUCUUCUUCUUUGUGUACUAUAUAAACAAAGGCUUAUCCGAUUACUGAUCCUCUCAAAACACACCUUAAAUAGAAAAUCUUGAUGGAUUUAUCUAGUAUCUUAUCUGUUCUCACCUUUGUCAACAUUCUUACGUCAUUAAGCAUUUCAUCCCACGUGCCUCAAUUGAAUGAGUGGAUAAAGCUCCUUUUCAGACAAGUUUGACACGGUUUAAAUAGUUAGUCUAUGAUUUGGUAUUUAAGUUUGGUUUUUUUUUUAAUUUGAUAUUUAUGUUAUUUUAUGGUAAAUUAUAAAAAUAAUCACUAGGGGUGAAAUUCUUUUUUUUGCCUUUGAACUAUAAAAAGUUAUUUUUUUUGUCACUAAAAAUAUUUACUUAUAAUAUUUCGAUCACUCUUCUUUUAAUAGCAAAGUGAGGUGAGGUGGAAGAUAAACAAUAAGUAUAGUACACAAAGAUAAAAUACUAAAUUUUACAUUUAAUUUUUUUUCGUAAAUAUUUUUUACAAAGAUAAACAAUUAAUCAUAAAAUGUGCUUUUAUCAUCCCAUAUUUAAAAUAUAUUUUUUCAUAGUAUUUUGGGAAGUGUUUUGAAUAGUAAUUUACCAUUUUUGUUUGAUAUAACAUUUGGUAUCCAAGUUUGACAUUUUUUAACGCGGUAUUUAUAUUAUUUUUAUCCAAUAUGAUACUUGCAUUUAGAAAAAAAUUAUAUAUUUUGGUAUCUAAAAAUAAAAAUAUUAAUUUUUUAAAUUCGGGUUUUAAGAUUAAUUUAGUGAAAAAUAACUUCUAAUAUUUUAUGUUUGAAUUUUUCAUGAUCUUCUUAAAAGAAUGAAUUUAGUGUUAUUUGUAUAUUUUUUAGUUUUGCAUUAAAUUAUUCAAAUACAAGUUGAUAGAUAUGAUUUAAUUCAAGUUUUAGGAUCGAUGUGAUGAAAUUUAAUUGCUAAUAUUAUUAGCCAAUUACGAAUUUCAUCUAACUCUAAAAUUUAGAUUAAACAUUAAAAAGUAUUUUUAAUUCUAACCCUUUAAAAAAUUUUCCAGACUCCACCACCGACCAUUUUAGAAAAAUAAGUAUGAAAUACCAAAUUAUACAUUUAAUUUUUUUUUCGUUAAUAUUUUUCAUGAAGAUAAACAAUUAAUCAUAAAAUAUAUAUUUUUCAUAGUCAUCCCAUAUUUAAUUACUUGUUUUUGACUUCCAGAAGUAGUAAAAUAUUUCGAAAAAGAAGGGACUAGGGAUGGUCUAAAGAGUUGGCAGACACUGGAAGAUUCUAUAUACAGUUGUCCUUUGGUAGAAAAUCAACAUUGGUAUAACUUCUGGAAUCUUGAGCUUGAGCUGUCGAGUUUUAUCCACUUCCUAAAUUGACACCCAUACUUCAUUACCGACAUGCUAUUGUAUUUGAAAUUAAUUUCAAGAUAAAAUUUAUUAAAAUAUGACGUGAUAAUAAAAAUAACAUAAAUAUAAUAAUAUGUGAAAUAAAAUUAGAAUCAUUUUGAAAAUUCUGGAUAUAUCAUCAUAAUAUAAAUACAUGGACGUGUUAAAAUUUGCUUAAAAUAAAUUAUAAAUUUACCAAAAAUUAUAUUAUUUUUAUAUAAUUUUUAAUUUACUCAUAACUUCUAAUCUUUACAUUGAAGGAUAUUACACAAUUAGAUACGUUUAAACUCACGACUUCUCAAUUGUUGCAUCAGUAAUGAUGUCAAUUGAGUUAAAAUUCAAUUAGUUAUAAUAUUAAGUAUUACCAGAUUUAUGACAUACCCCUGAGUGAAAAAAAACUCAUGCAACAAAUAUAUUUAUUAAAAUAUAACUUAAUUUAUAUAUAAAUAAAAUUUAAUAAUUUUAUAAUUAAAAUAAUGCAUGAUUGACAUUCAUAUAAACUCAAUAAAUAUAUAUUAUGGCGCAAAAAGUAAUACUAACAUGAUCCGACCAAGCAUUAUCAUAAUUCAUAAUUAUCCUUAAAAUAUUUGUCGUUGUCUCUUUCAUAAAAAGAAUUACUCUCUUUAAUUCAAAUUAAGGAAUCUCACCAAUAAGUGUGGGUGCAAUGGUAAGGUAUAUUGUAUUUUUAAAGAGAGAUAUAGGUUCAAAUCUGGGAGAUGACAUUGUUGGGAUGAAUAGCCACGCACAUAAACCGUAAAACGAACAUGAAAAAUACAAAAAUUUUAAGGAAUCCCAUAAUACGUAUUAAUUAGAAAAUACUUUCGCCGCGUAUUGAGAAAUUUAAAAUUUUAAAAUUAAUAUUUAUAUUAAAAUAUAUAUUUAAGAGUUACGUAUUAAUUUUAAUUUAAUAUUUAAUUUGAUAUAUAAAUUUUGAAUUGACACAAUUAUAUAUAUAAAACUUUAAUUUUGAUUUAAUUUUACACAUUUAAAUAAAUAUAUAUUGAUAUUGGAUAAAUAUAAUUAUUUGUAUAUUUAAUCAGAGGCGAAUCCAGGGUGGCUGGCAGGGCCCUGGCCCCCUUAAAAUGAAAAUUUGUUGUUUUAAUCCUUUAAAAAUUUUUAAAAUUUAAAAUUAGUAAAAGUAAAAUUACACUUUGGCUACCUUAAAAUUAUGAAAAUUUAAUUUAAUCCGUUAAAAUUUAUAAGAUAUAGGCUAUUAAAAAUUAAAAUUUCAUUUCGGCCCCCCCUAAAAAUUUUUUUUAACUUCGCCCCUGUAUGUAAUAUGUGAAUAUUAAAUGGCGUUUGUAUAGAUAAUAGUGCUAUUGAUUGGUGAAAAUUACAUCAAACUGAAAUUUUAUGUAUAAAAUUACACAUAAUCAAAAUUUAUAUAUCAUAUCACAUAUUUGAUCAAAUUCAUAUGUAAAUUUAAUAUUUACACCUUAUAUAAAUUUUAGAUAUAUGAAUUUAUCCAUCAUAAAUUAUGAAGAAUUUGAGAGAAAUAAUAGAAAAUAAUGGAAACGCAACGCAGCAUGAAAAAUAACAAAAAGUCGAAACUUUAUAUGAAAUGAAUAUAUAAGCAUAUAAAUACUUAAGUAACAUUAUAAUACUUUGAACAUAAAGUAAAAAAAAAAAAAAUAACAACGUGGUUUCGAUCUUGAAAAGUUAAAAAUUAUUUGUUAAGUAUUUAUGAUAUAAAUUGUGUUUGGUAUAGUUAGAUAUUAUUAAACCAAAAUUUUAUUAUCUAAUUAUUGCAAAUAUUAACAUAUAUCCAUAUGAAAUUUUUUGAUUAAGGGUUUUAGAACUGGAUCGGUGGUCCAACCGAUCAAAUCAUCGGUUCGAUCAGUCAGUUUGGUUUAAUUGAAAAAAUAGAAAAAAAAUUGAUUCAACCGUCGAGUUCAACCAGCCCGUAUCGAUUCUUGGAUCAACCUGUGUAAUGGUUUUCUUUGGAUCGGUACCCUUUCCGAUUCCUGAUCCAACCGGUCCAGUUCAAACAACAUUGAUUUUGAUAAUUAUUCCCAUUAUCCAACAAUUAGUCUAAUGAUAUAUGUUCAUUUUGAUUUUAGGGGUUUAAUUUCCUAAAUGAUGAAUCAAUAAAUGAUUUUUUAUAUUUUUAAUAUUUUAGAAUUUUAUUAAAAAUUAUAAGAUUUUAUAAUUUAUUCGAAUUUAUUAUGAUUUAUUAUAAGUUUUAUAAUUAUAGAUAAUAACUAUUUUUAUUAUAAUUUUUUUCAAACCUUUUUAUUAAUGUUUAUAAAUUUAUAGAAAGUUUUAAAUAUAUUAAAUAUGUUUUAUUUUCAUUUUUAUAUUUAUACUUAUGAUUUAUAAUGAUUUUUUUAAUAUUUUUACAAGUUUUAUAAUUUUUAUUUAAUUUUUUAUUAUUUUAAUGAUUAUUUAUGGAAAAAAUAUAAGAUUAAACCAACAACUAUCUUAUAUCACCAUCUAAUUUGUCUAUCAAUUAAUUUUAAUAAUCAACGUCAUAACAAACAGAAAUAAUUAAGUGGAAAAUCCAAACAAAGCCAAGGAGUUUUGUAAUUUUAUUCAAAUUCCCAAGGAUAAAAUCUAUUCUUUAUCUAUUUAAAUAAAAAUAAAUCUAAUCUUAAUUAAAUUCUUAACAAAAUAUUUUUAUAAAUUACAAACAAAAUAAUAAAAAAAUCUUAUACAAAAAUAUUUGCUCACAAGCCAAAUUCUUCGCAAUGAUAUUAGGUUUCAGACUAUACUCUAAUAUUCUAGAUAUGUACUACACCGACAUAUAUGUCAAUCAAUCACAGAUAGGAACAAGGUUGCCGACUUUUCACUAACGUCGCUUGUUCACAUCCUAAUCUCGUAGAUUUGAUCGUAUAAGGGGUAUGAUUAAUUUUUCAAUCAAAAGUUUUUUUUCAUUUUUCUAUCCCUAUCUCAUAAGCACAACAUUUGAGUGAAUUCAACAAAUUAAAAAUCAAAAGGUGAAGAAUAUGAUUGCAAAAUAGAACAGAAAAAUUGGUUUCCCAAAGCAGCCAAAAUCUAAAAAAAAAAACUCUUUAAAAGCUUUAAUUUGAAAAUUGAAUAUCUAAUUUUAAGCCAAGUAAGUAAAGGCGUGUCUAAGGUGGGUUUAAUUUUUUCAUGAGAAGGAAGGUGUUGCAACGAGUUUAUAAAGAUCUCAUGUUUAAAAGUGUCUACUUUCUAAAAGUGGUUUGAGUUUAGGUGAGUUUAGUCAUGCUUUUAAAUUUUGAUUCGUGGAAAAGUGAUUUUAAAAAAUACUUUUGAAAAGUUUAGUUUAAGAUUUGAGUGUUUAACAUUACUAUUAAAAAGUGACUUCGAGAAAUAAAAUGUUAAUUUUAGACAUGUUAUUAUCAAGUAAUAAAUAUGCAUUUAAAUAAUGUUCAAAUUAGUUAAUAUUAUUAUAUUUUAAUAAGAAUAUAACAAAAUUAUUAUAACUUCUUGUUAAUAUUCCAAUAUAUGAAAUAUAAAUUUUAAAUAUUUUUAAACAAUAAAUAUUAAUUAUUUAUAAAAUUUAAUUAGAAUAUAUAAACUAUAUUUUAAAAUUUUAAAUAUAACCAUUAAAUAUUUGUAAUUAGAUAUUAACACAUUUGUAUUAUUUUAAAAAAGAUUUAUUUUUUAUUUUUAAUUAAUGAUUUUAAUACAUUUGUAAUUAAGUACUAAGAAAGGAAAAAAGAACAGAGAAAAUACUAUGUUAUUGUAAGGGUGAAAAAGUAAUUAAGCACCAAAAGUGCUUUUGGGAGAGGAUUCAAAGGUGCUUCUGAAAAGCCAAAAAUUUCAGCCAAAAGCAGCUUGUUUAGCACAGUUUUUCUUCCAAAAGUACUCUUAGAGCCAAAAGUGCUUUUUUUAAGCACUACAAGUUUGAUUAGCAUGAGCAUUAUUGUUAAUAUAGAAGAGCGUGGGUUUAGGUGUGAUGAAACGUAUUGUCCUCUUAUUUAUAGGUUAGGGAGGAACUAUGGAUGGUUCUAGGCAUUUUGUCUAAAAAAGAGCAUAUAAGAUCAAAACUUAUAAUGAAUUAAUUGUUCAAAAAAAAAACUUUGAAGAAAAAGUUUAGUGACGUAAUGAAUUGGAUGUUUACCACUUGUGAUUAAAACUAAAAUUUUUAAGAUAAAUUGUUAUAUUACUCACUAAAUUAUGUGUAAAUUUUCGUUUUGAUUAUCUAACUAAAAAAGCUACAAUUGGUCACUAAACUAUUUGUAAGUUUUCAUUUAAGUUAAUGGGUUAUUAAAAUUGAUUCUAUAUGGCUUUCUUUGUUUGCACCGUCUUAAUCAAUUGAAAACUCUUUUCCCCCUUCUCCUCUACAAUCCAAUUUUUUUUAAUGGAACAACUUUGGAUGUCAUGAAUCUGCGAACUAAAAAUCAGACAACUUUUUUCUCUGAUUUCUGACAUUGAUGUCAGAUUAACUUAGAUCUAAAGUAAUUUUUUCUACUUGUUAAUGGGUAUCGAUCUAUUGUGCCAAUCGUCUACUUGUUGCUUGGAGCAUGCCGGCUGAAUUUAAAAAAAUAAUAAUUAAUAGCCCAGUUACUUAAAUAAAAACUUUUGAAUACUUAAGUGACCAAAACGAAAAGAUACCCAUAAUUUAGUGACUAAUGAUGUAAUUUGCCCCAUUUUAAACCCACAUAGAAAGACGAAGCUCGGUAAUUUAUUCGAAAACACACGUGUAUCCCAUCAAAAUUGAGGAAUUAAAAACAAGUAAAUGAAGUUUUGCAAUGCCCAAAGCCAACCCUUUGGAUUGUAUGAUUUUUUUUUAAUGACAAAUGUUGCGGGCCAUUUUGCCCGGGACCCAUCACAGCCCAAAUACCCAAAAACACAUAUCAGAAAAAAUUUACCCUAACCCUAGGUGUGCCGCACCUAGGGCCUUCGUCCCUCUGCCUCUUCUGACCAGCGCCGUCUGCAGGCCUCCACCAGCACUGUCACGCCGCCACCGCCAACGUCAUGUCGGUCACCUUCCACUUGCGCCGCCUGUCAUCUGCAAAAGAGAGAAACGAACAAGAUGGAAGCAAUAACAAGAAGGCUUUAAAAAGCCGAAACAAAUGUAAAAAACGGGGGACUUUUGUUUUUUUGAAAUCGGUAUACAAACCGAUUGAAACCUUUGUAACGGGGGUGGGUUCUUUUUCUUUUUUUUCUCUUUGCAAGGAUCUGGCACAAAGCAAAACAUCGAGAAGCCCCAAUUUGCGCUAAUCCCAAUGUCGUACCAGGAGCUGUAUCAGAAUUUAUUUGACGCACAUGUUGUUUCCCCUUUCUACUUGAAGCCUUUACAACCUCCGUACCCUAAAUGGUACGACAUGAAUGCGCAAUGUGACUAUCAUGCGGGAGUUACAGGGCAUUCAAUAGAAAAUUGUGUUGCCUUUAAAAAUGUGGUUGAAAGGCUCAUCAGUAUGGGUAUCGUCAAGUUCGAUACAGAAAAUCCACUGCUUAAUCAUAUUGAUAAUCGGGGUGAAUGCGAUGAAUGAGAAAAUAUUGGGAAACGUUCACAUUAACGCCGCAUGAAGAAACAAUUGAAAAAGGACAUUGUUAGAUAUUUACCCUUACAUACUUAGGGGUGUUUUGAGCAAUAGGACUGCGAAAGAGAUCCCUGUACUUUUUAGAGCUAAUUUAGAGUAAUGUCUAAAACACGCUUAUUGCUCUAAGCCUAGGGGCAAUAAGAAUCCUUUUGUGAGAAAGGCUUAUGUCCAACAUCUUUAUUUCAAUAAAAUGCAUCUUUGUUUCUCACUUCGAGCAAAUAUUCUUUUAUUGUUUCCAUUUCAUUCAUAAUCAUACUAUACAGAUAAAUAUUCUUAGAUUCUUUUAUUCUUUGGAUCUACUUUCGUCCCUAUAAUAGGUCUUCAGAUAUUAAUGAUAUGAGCGACACUGCUAUUGACUUAGAACCUCCUUUUGAGCAAGAUAUGUGUCCAGAUUAAACUUCAAGACUUUGGAGAUAACUGAGACUGUAGCUUAUUUCCUGAUUUGUUAAGGACGGGAGAACAAGAUUCUACCUUACAAAAGAAUCAAUGGAAGCCAUGACCUUUCUCUAUGGGGCACAGAUGUCAUAGGGCCAAUCUCACCUAAGGUUUUUGACGGUUAUCUUUAUGGUCAUCAAUUACCUCACUAAGUGGGCAGAAGCUGCUUCAUAUGCCGAUGUCGCAAAGCCGGAAAUCUGUAAAUUCUUGAAAAAUCAUAUGUCAGUAUGGAAUGCCAAAAAGGAGCAUAUCUGACAAUGCACGAAAAUUAAACAAUGGCACGAUAUCAGAAGUUUGCAGUCUGUUCAAGGUUAACAUAUUUUGCCCCAAUAUGCACGGUGCAGCGGGAACAAAAAUAAAAAUAAAAGAGAAAAAACUCCUACUGGGGCAAUGUAUUGGCUUAUCAUAGUUUUGCUCAUUGAGGUCAAGAUUCCUUCUCUCCGAGUGUUGGAUCAGAUCCCGAUUGAAGAGAAAUGUGCAAAGUUAUCUGUCUCGGUCAAAUACACUAAAAACAAAAGACAUGAGCUCACCAAAGAAGGUUCGCCUUAGAGAGUUCUAUGAAUGGGACCUAACAUCGAAGAAAAUCCUCUCUAUACAAAAAGGACUUUAGAAGAAAGAGGAUAUCAAACUGAAAAGAACCUUAUGUGGAAGGCUUUAUCUAGAGAAGUGUUGAUUUCGACCAGAAAGGAUAGCAAUGACUUACUUGAUCCUGCGAAUGCGAAUUCAAUCAAAGAAUGUUUAAAAAAAUAUAUAAAAAAAAGAAAGAAAAAUAAAGAGAAAGAAAAAAAGAAGAAAAAGAAAAAGGAGAGGCCAAUGUAAAAACCCACAAAGGGCACCUUAGACCAAAGGGGUUUUGAAUUGAAAACCCAAGAAUGGGCAGUUCAAAUUUUGAUCAAAGGUGGGGCAUGCGGUGGCCUUGUCCUCUCUGAGUUAGCAAGAAGGAGAGAUGCUACAUAUUGGGGCAUCAACAAAGUCUUCUAGGACUUCUAAACACAUAUCAAGUUCGAAAGGGUCCUCAAGAAGUUUAGGGCAGAGAAGCUCAUGCUAUGAUAUCUGGGGCACCUGUUUCCAUUUUAUUCAUUUUUAUUUUGGCAAAAUAUGUCAUCUUGAUUAAUUUAUUCUCAUUUCGUAUCUUAGCAAAUUUGCUAUCUUGAUUAUUUAUUUCGAGCUUUGUUCUCAAUAAAAUUCCAUAUUGUCCAUUGUGAUAAUCCUUUUCAUUUUAUUCAUUUCGUAUCUUAGCAAAAUUUGCUAUCUUGAUUAUUUAUUUAUUUCGAGCAUUGUUCUCAAUAAAAUCCCAUCUUAUCCAUUGUGAUAAUCCUUUUCAUCUUAUUCAGUUCGUAUCUUAGCAAAAGUUGCUAUCUUGGUUAAUUUAUUCAUCUCGAGCUUUGUUCUCAAUAAAAUUUCAUCUUGUCCAUUGUAAGAAUCUUUUUCAAGCAUUUUUCAUUGAAGUAAUGAUUAAUGGACUGAUAAUAUUCAAGCAAAAGGAGUUUUGCAUAUUACUUUGAAAGCUUCUAAAUAAUACAGAAACUUGAAACAGGACUAUUGUUUAGAACACACCAAGUUUAAAGGUUGAAAUGUCUAAGAAGGAAAAGUCUAACUUAAGACUAUCCUUUCGGAUUUUGUUGUCCAAGCAUGGAUUAAACAAAAUGACAAAAUGUCGUGUUGGUGACAAAGCUUCAAUGAACAAACGAGCAAUGAUCACUGAGUGAUAAAAAGAUGUUUUUUGGUAGAGAAAGUUCUACAAUUGUGCAUAAAUAUUUGGUACGACACCCUGGGAAUGGUACAGAAGACCAAAGAGAUUCAGAUCUUGUAUCCCAGAAUUGCAGUGGGAGAAGAUUGAGAAAGAGCCAGAUCUUAUACUCAGCGGGAGGAAGAUGGCUCAAAUUUUAUGUCCCAAAAUUACCGUGGACUUAACCUUGAAGAUUACAACGGAUUCAACUCUAAAGAUUACAGUAGGGGGCAAUCUGGCUAUGUAAGAGAUGAGUGUUACCAGCCGAGCAAGAUAGCAUUCUGACAUGUUGGUAAUAAAACCUUAUUGAAUAACGAGCAAUAAUAACCCUAAGCAUUAAAAGAGGGAUCAUUCUCAAAAAAUGACAUUCUACAUUCAUGCAAAUAUAAGAAAACAGUUUAUAUAUACAUAUAUACAUAUAUACAUAUAUAUAUAUAUAAGAAAACAGUUUAUAUUUGCCGAAAAUAAAAAAAAAACUUUACCUUUUCGGUGGCCGGCGCGGCGGCGACGUGGUGGCCCCGCUCGCUGGAUUCUGAUCAGAGGCGGAGAGGCUUGAGAGAAUUUUGAAGGGUUUUCUGAAAAUUUUUUUAGAAGAAAUUGGCUAAAUGAAUUUUUUUUUGUUAAAAUCUUAGUUUAUAUAACUUAUCAAAACGACGCCGUUUUGAUUUAAUGACCCCAGACCAAUACGACGCCGUUUUAGGGUCGAUCUGCACCGUGACCCGACCCUGGGGAAGGAUCCUCGUGUUUUCAUUGGAAGGGCUAAUUGCACCUUUAGCCCUUCCGCUUUUUAAUGUUUUUUUAAUUAGGUAUUUCUAAAUUUUUAAUUUUUACCCCGUUAUUUUAUUGCAAUUUCAAUUCGAUCCACUCUUGAACGACGUCGUUUUGGGGAAAAGGGAUAAUUCCCAUUCUGGUCCCUUCAUGCUGUGCGCGUGUUCAGGAAGAUCCUCCUUUUAUUUUAUUUGCGAAUUUACCCCAAAUUUUUGUUUUUUAAUGCAAAUCAGUCUCUUUUAUUUAUUUAUUUAUUUUAUCAAUUGAUUCAUUUUUAUAUUCUAUAUGCAAUCGUGUUUGUAUUAUUCUUGUUAUUAUGUUUCCAAUUUGUUUAUUUCCAAUUUGUUUAUUUACUUAGUUUAAACAUUAUUAAUAUCAUUUUUUACUGUUGUUUAUGUUUACUUAUUUAAAUAUUCAAGAUAUUUGUUUCAUUAUAUUAAUAUUGUUGUUUGUUUAUUGAUGUCCUUUUUAACUUUGUUAUAUACGUGUAUAUGUACACCUCAUAAAUAUAUAUCUAUAUGCAUAUAUUCCUUUAUUCUAUAACUCAUAUAUGUGUACGUAUAUAUAUAUAUCUUUUAUAUUUAAGAAUUUUGAAAUAUAUUCAUACAUACAUAUAUUUCUAUAAUAUAUACAUAUAUUUUAUAACCCCAAAAUAUAUACAUACUCACAUUUUCAUAAUUUUUAUACACGCACAUAUAUUUUUAUAAUAUAUCUAUACAUACAUAUAUACAUAUAUUUUUGUAACUUAUUUUUGUUUGCAUGUGUAUUUACAUGUUUAUUUUUUCAUAUAUUUUAAUACAUAUCUACAUAUAUAUAUAUAUAUAUACGUAUUUAUAUAUCUUUAUUCAUUUUUUAUUUUUAUUUAUUUAUUUAUUUAUUCAUUUGUUUUCUUACAUUAUCAUCAUCAUUCCAUUACACUCAUUUUUUAUUUAGAUUUCAAAAAAAGAAAUUUUAAAAAAUAAAAGUAACACUCGAUAUUUGAGAUCUUCGAGAAAAUCGAGCCCUAACAUAUCGGGUUCUGACUUUUUUCGUUGAAUUUAAAUAAUCGAGAUUACUCUUUUAAAAAUGAUAAAAAGCUCGUUAUCGAGAAUUCAAUACGUUGUGUCCUAACGCAUUGGAUGUGACACGUUGUUUUCUCGAGAUGAGGAUUUUUCGCAAUAAAUGCAAUAUUCAAUGUUUAAUAUUUUGAGAAAUUGUAACCUAACGUAUUGGGUUGCGAUUUCUUCAUUUGAUUUAAACAAUUGAAUAUUCUUUUAAACUUUAUUACACAAAUCUUUUCAAACUCAAGUUUUAAACGAUAUCGGGAAUUAAAAAAGGAUCGUGUCUUAACUUACUGGUCGUGAUCCCUUUUUAAUCCAAGAUAGUUAAAUGUCUUGUAAAUAAUCAUCUUUCAUUCGCGUACCGGGAAUUCGAGACAUUGUGUCCUAACUUACUGGAUAUAAUUCUCUUUCUCGAAUAACGUGAAAUAUGCCCCUUUUCCUAGAAAUUUUUCAACGUUUUAAUACAAGGAUCGUAUUUUUAAAAUUCUUCAAAGUUUUCAAUUUUCGACAUUAAGUAAUCAACUAGGUACCAAUUUUGGGCGUAUCGAGGGUGCUAAUCCUUCCUCGUGCGUAAUCGACUCCCGAACCCGUUUUCUGAAUUUCGUAGACCAAACUCGUUGUUUUAAUAAAAUUAAAUUGUUUAUUAAAAACAACCGCUUUUAAAGGUGACCCGAUCACACCUCAUCAAAAAAGAUUGGUGGCGACUCCCAUUUUUAUUUUUUAAAAUCCAAGUCGACCCCGUUUUUCAACCAAAAAAUGGUGUCAACAACAAAAAAAGAGGGAAGGCAAAUAUAACCCUUCAAAUGGAGAAAAGAGCGGGGUUGGCAAGGAAGCAAUGAGAAACCGUCAAUGCAGUGAUUCUCUAAAUUUGUUUGGUUCUCAAAUUUACAUGUUAUUUCUAUUUAAUUUGAUAGAAUCUUUGUUGUUUUGUAUGUUGAUUUUCUUCAAGGCUUGCUAUAUUUUCUUGUUGGUCUCCUUUGCAUGGCCAUUGGUUUGCAAUGUUUUCAUUGAGCUGCGGGCAUGAGAGAUAUGGAGAUUCUUGCAGAAGUCGUCAGAUUUUUUCUAGAAUUGAGUGCCACACUCAAUUAUUAGAAAAUGAGUUAAUCUGUAGCUGUAAAUAAUAGUUUUUCAGACGAAGUUCUCUAUUUAUUUCUCUGCGGUAGUGGCAAAGGCUUCUACCUCCACCCAUUCGAAGGAGUAUCUUAUAGAAACCACUAUGAACUCCUUCUGUGUUAUAGCUAGCUGGAAAGGACUAAGGAUGUUUUUAACCUUAAGUUGCGAAGGGUCAAAGGCUGGAAAUGAGUUGGAAAUGUGGGUGCAAAAUUUUGGCAUAGCUUGCAUCUCAUGACUAGUCCCAAUGCAUCUUUUUUCAAUGAGGGACAUUAAUAGCGUCGGCGAAGGACUUUCUAGACAAGGGCCCUUGCACUUGGAUGGAGACCGCAUAUCCUUUCAUGUACUUUCUUGUUCACGUAGUGUGUUUCUUCUAGCAAAGACAUCUAAGUGGCAGAGGUUUCUAACAGGGGAAGUCACUCUAGGUCAGUGUCUCCAUUCUCUUGGCCCUUCGAUCAUAAAGUUGGCUAGACAUGCAGCAACCAAAUAGUUGGUUGUAGUGUAAAUGUGUAAUUAUAUUGGUCAAUUAAACUGAGAGAAAAAGAAGAGAUUAAGAAUUGUAUUAGAACAAUAACAACAUACACUUACUAAACAACAGGUAAAAUUACUUUAUUCAUCCAAGUAAAGAAAAUAGAAACUUGGACUUGAUUAUUUCGAACACCGUAAAAGAAAUUAAAACACGAUACAAAGUAUGACACAACAACAUCACAAAUUCUUUUUUUGGGUAAUGGAGGCUUCAACUUUCACUGAACCCCUCCAUGAAACUUUGUUUUAAAACCUAGGUGCUCUUCUUUGGUGGUGUAUUGCCAUAUCUCCAAGAGAAUUUCUUUAAAGCAUCAGGAUAACUACCACCUGCAACCUCAUGGAUUGGGAUCACAUCUGAAAUUUCUUUCAAAUCUUCUUUUGUCAGCUUUACUUUCACUGAUUCAA